RNAcentral lists this non-coding RNA (69 nucleotides) under Chloropicon mariensis. Lineage: Eukaryota; Viridiplantae; Chlorophyta; Chloropicophyceae; Chloropicales; Chloropicaceae. The record is from RNAcentral.
AAGAAAGAAAAAUUUUCAAGCGUGAAACUUUUUUUUCUUUUUUAGUUUUGUUUUUUUGCCGGCUUCUUC